UACGGGGGGUGCAAGCGUUGUUCGGAAUUACUGGGCGUAAAGCGCGUGUAGGCGGUUUGUUAAGUCUGAUGUGAAAGCCCCGGGCUCAACCUGGGAAGUGCAUUGGAAACUGGCAGACUUGAAUACGGGAGAGGGCAGUGGAAUUCCUGGUGUAGGAGUGAAAUCCGUAGAUAUCGGGAGGAACACCGGUGGCGAAGGCGGCUGCCUGGACCGAUAUUGACGCUGAGACGCGAAAGCGUGGGUAGCAAACAGG
Molecule: ribosomal RNA, 253 nt
Filed under: uncultured bacterium
Lineage: Bacteria
Description: partial 16S ribosomal RNA
Rfam family: Bacterial small subunit ribosomal RNA
Source: RNAcentral